UUCCCCUUCUCUGCUUUUACUUCUGCCAUCGCCGUCGCCGCUUCUUCCACCGUCGCCGCUGCUUCUUCUUCUUUCGCCGCUGCUUCUUCUACAAUCGCUUCCGCUGCUUCUGAAGAACGUAGUCUCGAGGUUGGCCCAUCUUGAGUCGCCCCCAUCCACCCACACAACCAGAUGCUUCGAGUUGCCUUAAUUUGAAGAAAUCGUUCAACGAUUCUGCUUCAUUCAAGUUUCCCAGGUUGUAGGAUCCAGGGGAUGGUCGUCUAUCUCUCGUUAUCGAGGGGAGUUUCGGAGUUUGCAUUUUCAGAGUAAACUGACCUGCUCCUGCUUCUGAUCUGAUGCUGCAGAUCUGUUGCGAGCAGAUCAGAAGCAGCAGCAGAUCAGAACAUCAGUUGUGAAACUGAUCUGCAGCAUCAAAUCAGAAGCAGCAGCAGAUCAGAUCAGCAGUUAUGUAUCUGAUCUGCUACUUCCAAUCUGUUGUUCGAGCUUCCCAUUUGGAUAAAGCCUUCAUGUUGACUGUCUUUUUAUUUUCAUGCAGUUCUUAUAACUUGUAGAAGUGGAGGUCAUGACUGCAUUCAAACCAUUGGAGUUCUUCGGAUCAGCUUUUGAUGCUUUAUAUUUUUCUGUUCUCACAACACUGAAAACAAGCAAGCUACAGGAAGUUUAGUAAUGCUUGACAUUCUGGUUGGUGUCCUGUUAGUUAUAUCAAUGACGUCUCCUUUCUUCCUCCCUUCAGUGUGCAAAAUCAGUUUCAGUGACUUCAGUCUACUAUUCAAGGCAUUCAAUAAUCCGAGGGAGCGGCCUUUCACCUUUGAGGAGAUAGAUGAAGUUCGAGAAAUGUUGGCAAAAUUCAUUAACAGUGAUUGUCUUUGAUAUUUUCUUGUACUGAAUCUUAAAUUAUGGAUGCUAGCUAGUUUUUCAUAUGAUUGUAAUGUAAUCGACUUUUAUAUUUACAAUUAUAUA
This is a long non-coding RNA of Spinacia oleracea (spinach), 960 nucleotides long. RefSeq lists it as uncharacterized. NCBI's taxonomy places the organism in Eukaryota, Viridiplantae, Streptophyta, Magnoliopsida, Caryophyllales, Amaranthaceae. The transcript has 4 exons. The record is from RefSeq and is a predicted model, not a curated record.